CUGGAGGAGGCGGAAGAGAGAAUGCAGGUAUAAGUAUACGAAAGACGGGUGAGAUCCCCGUCCGCCGAAAGCCUAAGGAUUCCUGGGUAAAGGUCAUCUGCCCAGGGUAAGUCGGCCCCUAAGACGAGGGCGAAAGCCGUAGCCGAUGGGAAACUGGUUCAUAUUCCAGUACCCCGCCAUGUUUUGAUGGGAUGACGCGUAAGGUGAAACCCGGCCGGGCGACGGUUGCCCCGGUCGAAACGGUAAGUUAUUCGCGGAAUAGGCAAAUCCAUCCGCGAGAUAAACCGCGACAGCGAGCAGACCCACGGGAAAGCGAAGCGGGCGUAAUCAUAGCGCCAAGAAAUAAUCUCUAAAGCUAGACUUGGCGGGACCGUACCGUAAACCGACACAGGUAGGCGGGAUGAGCAAUCUAAGGCGCUCGAGAGAACUCGCGUUAAGGAACUCGGCAAAAUGCACACGUAACUUCGGAAGAAGUGUGACCGAUUCUAGUUUAGCAAUAGGUUAGAGCCGGUAGCAUAAAGCAGUCCCAGGCGACUGUUUACCAAAAACACAGGCCUCCGCUAAUCAGCAAUGAGACGUAUGGGGGCUGACACCUGCCCGGUGCCGGAAGGUUAAGAGGAGCGGUUAGCCGCAAGGCAAAGCUGUGAAUUGAAGCCCCGGUAAACGGCGGCCGUAACUAUAACGGUCCUAAGGUAGCGAAAUUCCUUGUCGGGUAAGUUCCGACCCGCACGAAAGGUGUAACGAUCUGGGAGCUGUCUCAACGCGAGACUCGGUGAAAUUUAUGUACCGGUAAAGAAGCCGGUUACCCGUGGUUAGACGGAAAGACCCCGUGAACCUUCACCGUAACUUAUCAUGGGGACUUGAUUAGAUAUGUGUAGGAUAGGUGGGAGGCAGUGAAACGUGGGCGUUAGCUUGCGCGGAGCCGACGGUGAAAUACCACCCUUGUCUGAUUAGGUUUCUAACCCGAACCGUGAAGCCGGUCCGGGGACAGUGAUAGGCGGGCGGUUUGACUGGGGCGGUCGCCUCCUAAAGAGUAACGGAGGUGCGCGAAGGUCUCCUCAAGCCGGUUGGAAAUCGGCUUUUGAGUGUAAAGGCACAAGGAGGCUUGACUGCAAGACCGACAGGUCGAGCAGGUACGAAAGUAGGUCUUAGUGAUCUGGCGGUUGCGAGUGGAAGCGCCGUCACUUAACGGAUAAAAGGUACUCCGGGGAUAACAGGCUGAUCUUCCCCAAGAGUUCACAUCGACGGGAAGGUUUGGCACCUCGAUGUCGGCUCAUCGCAUCCUGGGGCUGAAGCAGGUCCCAAGGGUUUGGCUGUUCGCCAAUUAAAGCGGUACGUGAGCUGGGUUCAGAACGUCGCGAGACAGUUCGGUCCCUAUCUGCCAUGGGCGCAGGAUGGUUGAGAGGACCUGUUUUUAGUACGAGAGGACCGAAAUGGACGAACCGCUGGUGUGCCAGUUGUCCCGCCAGGGGCACGCGCUGGGUAGCUACGUUCGGAAGGGAUAACCGCUGAAGGCAUCUAA
RNAcentral lists this ribosomal RNA (1522 nucleotides) under Coptotermes gestroi. RNAcentral's name for it is "bacterial LSU rRNA". It matches the Rfam family "Bacterial large subunit ribosomal RNA", at positions 1273 to 2784 of the family's 2925-position model. The record is from RNAcentral. Lineage: Eukaryota; Metazoa; Arthropoda; Insecta; Blattodea; Rhinotermitidae.